RNAcentral lists this ribosomal RNA (464 nucleotides) under Vreelandella stevensii. RNAcentral's name for it is "partial 16S ribosomal RNA". It matches the Rfam family "Bacterial small subunit ribosomal RNA", at positions 338 to 795 of the family's 1533-position model. The record is from RNAcentral. Lineage: Bacteria; Pseudomonadati; Pseudomonadota; Gammaproteobacteria; Oceanospirillales; Halomonadaceae.
CCUACGGGGGGCUGCAGUGGGGAAUAUUGGACAAUGGGGGGAACCCUGAUCCAGCCAUGCCGCGUGUGUGAAGAAGGCCCUCGGGUUGUAAAGCACUUUCAGUGAGGAAGAACGCCUGGUGGUUAAUACCCAUCAGGAAAGACAUCACUCACAGAAGAAGCACCGGCUAACUCCGUGCCAGCAGCCGCGGUAAUACGGAGGGUGCGAGCGUUAAUCGGAAUUACUGGGCGUAAAGCGCGCGUAGGUGGCUUGAUAAGCCGGUUGUGAAAGCCCCGGGCUCAACCUGGGAACGGCAUCCGGAACUGUCAAGCUAGAGUGCAGGAGAGGAAGGUAGAAUUCCCGGUGUAGCGGUGAAAUGCGUGGAGAUCGGGAGGAAUACCAGUGGCGAGGGCGGCCUUCUGGACUGACACUGACACUGAGGUGCGAAAGCGUGGGUAGCAAACAGGAUUAGAUACCCUGUAGUC